Non-coding RNA from Caenorhabditis elegans, 150 nucleotides. The record is from Ensembl. Lineage: Eukaryota; Metazoa; Nematoda; Chromadorea; Rhabditida; Rhabditidae.
ACCCGGCAGAAUAAAUAUGGGUCAACAUCAGAAGAGGAAACACGGAGAAAUGGAAGAGAGAGUGCGCCGAAUCAUGAGAGAGAAGAGUGCGGAACUUUCCAGAGCGUUCUAUUUACUCGCGAAGCGCAGUGCAUGUUCGAUCUUCCGUCG